GGUUAAGUCCCGCAACGAGCGCAACCCUCGUUCCAUGUUGCCAGCGGGUUAUGCCGGGGACUCAUGGGAGACUGCCGGGGUCAACUCGGAGGAAGGUGGGGAUGACGUCAAGUCAUCAUGCCCCUUAUGUCCAGGGCUUCACACAUGCUACAAUGGCCAGUACAGAGGGCUGCGAGACCGUGAGGUGGAGCGAAUCCCUUAAAGCUGGUCUCAGUUCGGAUCGGGGUCUGCAACUCGACCCCGUGAAGUUGGAGUCGCUAGUAAUCGCAGAUCAGCAACGCUGCGGUGAAUACGUUCCCGGGCCUUGUACACACCGCCCGUCACGUCACGAAAGUUGGUAACACCCGAAGCCGACGGCCUAACCCGCAAGGGAGGGA
This 377-nucleotide ribosomal RNA is filed under the name Pseudonocardia sp. RNAcentral describes it as "bacterial SSU rRNA". It matches the Rfam family "Bacterial small subunit ribosomal RNA", at positions 1078 to 1451 of the family's 1533-position model. Lineage: Bacteria; Bacillati; Actinomycetota; Actinomycetes; Pseudonocardiales; Pseudonocardiaceae. The record is from RNAcentral.